This 86-nucleotide transfer RNA is filed under the name Escherichia coli. RNAcentral describes it as "tRNA-Leu". It matches the Rfam family "tRNA". Rfam says of the family: Transfer RNA (tRNA) molecules are approximately 80 nucleotides in length. Their secondary structure includes four short double-helical elements and three loops (D, anti-codon, and T loops). Lineage: Bacteria; Pseudomonadati; Pseudomonadota; Gammaproteobacteria; Enterobacterales; Enterobacteriaceae. RNAcentral also lists the same sequence under 2 other names. The record is from RNAcentral.
GCGAAGGUGGCGGAAUUGGUAGACGCGCUAGCUUCAGGUGUUAGUGUCCUUAGGACGUGGGGGUUCAAGUCCCCCCCCUCGCACCA